CAGAGGGUGCGAGCGUUAAUCGGAUUUACUGGGCGUAAAGCGUGCGUAGGCGGCUUUUAAGUCGGAUGUGAAAUCCCCUGAGCUUAACUUAGGAAUUGCAUUCGAUACUGGGAAGCUAGAGUAUGGGAGAGGAUGGUAGAAUUCCAGGUGUAGCGGUGAAAUGCGUAGAGAUCUGGAGGAAUACCGAUGGCGAAGGCAGCCAUCUGGCCUAAUACUGACGCUGAGGUACGAAAGCAUGGGAGCAAACAGGAUU
Molecule: ribosomal RNA, 253 nt
Filed under: uncultured bacterium
Lineage: Bacteria
Description: partial 16S ribosomal RNA
Rfam family: Bacterial small subunit ribosomal RNA
Source: RNAcentral